UUAGGUCAUCCUGGCGGUGCAGGAGCCGCCAAGGGCUGGACUGCUCGUCCAUUAAAGACCUACAUGAGCUGAGUUCAGUACGUCGCGAGACAGUACGGUAAUAUCUACUGAGGGUGUUAGUUUCAGAGGGCAAGGUGUUUUUAGUACGAGAGGAACGAAACACCGGCGCCACUAGUUUACUGGUUGUUUAUAGCAUUGCCAGGUAGCCACGCGCUUAGCGGAUAAGACCUGAAAGCAUCUAAGGUCGAAGCCGCACCCGAAACGAGAGACUUAGGGUGGUUGUAGUACACGACUUUGAUAGGGCGGGCGUGUAAGCGAAAAGCUUCGGCGAUUCGCGAGCGCACCGCUACUAAAUCCUAACACAUGCAAGC
RNAcentral lists this ribosomal RNA (371 nucleotides) under Microcaldota archaeon. RNAcentral's name for it is "partial 23S ribosomal RNA". It matches the Rfam family "Archaeal large subunit ribosomal RNA", at positions 2606 to 2987 of the family's 2987-position model. The record is from RNAcentral. Lineage: Archaea; Nanobdellati; Microcaldota.